RNAcentral lists this ribosomal RNA (223 nucleotides) under uncultured bacterium. Its description in RNAcentral is "partial 16S ribosomal RNA". It matches the Rfam family "Bacterial small subunit ribosomal RNA", at positions 96 to 334 of the family's 1533-position model. The record is from RNAcentral.
UGGCGGACGGGUGAGUAACGCGUAGGAACCUGACGCGCAGUGGGGGAUAACGCUGGGAAACCGGCGCUAAUACCGCAUGUGGUCGCAAGAAGAAAGCAGCAAUGCGCCGUGUGAGGGGCCUGCGUCCGAUUAGCUAGUUGGUGGGGUAAAGGCGUACCAAGGCACCGAUCGGUAGCUGGUCUGAGAGGAUGAUCAGCCACACUGGGACUGAGACACGGCCCAG